GAUGAACGCUGGCGGCGUGCCUAAUACAUGCAAGUCGAGCGAACGGACGAGACGCUUGCUUUUCUGAUGUUAGCGGCGGACGGGUGAGUAACACGUGGAUAACCUACCUAUAAGACUGGGAUAACUUCGGGAAACCGGAGCUAAUACCGGAUAAUAUUUUGAACCGCAUGGUUCAUAAGUGAAAGACGGUCUUGCUGUCACUUAUAGAUGGACCCGCGCUGCAUUAGCUAGUUGGUAAGGUAACGGCUUACCAAGGCAACGAUGCAUAGCCGACCUGAGAGGUGGAUAGGCCAACCUGGAACGGAGCACCGGCCCAGACUCCUACGGGAGGCAGCAGGAGGGAAUCUUGCGCAAUGGGCGAAAGCCUGACGGAGCAACGCCGCGGGAGUGAUGAAGGCCUUCGGAUCGUAAAACUCUGUUAUUAGGGAAGAACAUAUGUGUAAGUAACUGUGCACAUCUUGACGGUACCUAAGCAGAAAGCCACGGCUACCUACGU
This 496-nucleotide ribosomal RNA is filed under the name uncultured bacterium. RNAcentral describes it as "partial 16S ribosomal RNA". It matches the Rfam family "Bacterial small subunit ribosomal RNA", at positions 28 to 506 of the family's 1533-position model. The record is from RNAcentral.